RNAcentral lists this long non-coding RNA (1964 nucleotides) under Oryza brachyantha (malo sina). Its description in RNAcentral is "long non-coding RNA (OBRA_LNC002342)". Lineage: Eukaryota; Viridiplantae; Streptophyta; Magnoliopsida; Poales; Poaceae. The record is from RNAcentral.
UAACCGAUCUAAAUCACGUGAUUCAUGUCCACAUGAAACACCACGCCACCGCCAUCACGCGCCGAUGCCAUCGCCUCGCCAUCCCUGCCGGCGCGGGCGCUGUGCCAUAGCCACCUGCGGCCUUGUCAUCCCCGUCGGCGCCGUCGCCUCGCCAUCACCCCCGCCGCCGCCGGCUGCGCCAUCCCCCCACCCUCUCUCGCCUCGCCAUCGCCACUUUUGUCGUCGCCUCGCCGUCCUCCUCCUCCUCCCAAUAAAAUUGCUCGCCUCCAGAUCUGCGCCGCCCCUGGCUAUCGGGACAGGAGCACCCGCGUUCGAUCGCUGCGUGUGUCGUGCGUGCUCCCGCUAGGCGUCGCCGGACUGGGCUCGGUCUCCUCUCUCUUCAUGUAAGUGGGACAACGAGAUCUAUCCCUCCUCCUCCUCCUCCAUCUGCUGUUUCAGUGAGCAAUUUCUUUCAUUCCUUGUGACCGGCCGGUUCAACGACGGAGUUCGGCAGCACUUACUAGAAUGGUGGUGGCGGCGAGGUUGGAGUAAUCCAUUUGCAUAUUGAUAUAUAUAAAUGACGAGUCGUGCUUAAAGUUAUUUUGAUAAUAAACUAGGUCAUAAGCAAAAUAAAUAAUAUUUGUAUAAUUUUUUGAAUAAGACAAAUGGUUAAACAUUAAAGGUAAAAAGUCAAAUAUCUUACGUUAUAAAACAGAGGGAGUAUAUAUAUAUAUAUAUAUAUAUAUAGUUGUACUAAAUUUUUAUAGUUGUACUAAAUUUUUGAAUAAGACGAAUGAUCAAACGUUGCAACUAAAAAAGUUAAACAUUUUUCAUUGUGAAACGGAGGUAGUAAUUGUCGAUAGAAAAUAACUCUAAAAUCUUUCAAUACACAAGAACGUUUAUUUUGUUUGAGUUCUUGCAAUGCACACAGUGUACUUGCAUGAUUAUGUGGGUUGAACUUUGGAUUCAAGAAGUAUUACUUGAGCCUAUUCUUUUUGUUAAUUCAUUUUACCUUCCUUUUGUCUCUUUUUACAAUAUUGAGGUGUGAAAGAAACUGAUUUUGGGUUCUUUGUUACUUGAAAUCUUUGGACCGAUUUGUUAUCUGAAGGAAUCCGAGUGAAAGUUGCUGUCUACAGCCCAUUUUUUCCUUGAAUUUGCUCCAAGGAGGGCCUUGUUAUGUUAUUUUCUGAAUUAAAUGUACUUUAAUUUAAUUUUUGUUUGCCUUAUCGAUAUAUUUGGUAUUGGUAGCUCUGCUUGAUUGAGAGAGUGAUUAGUUGUUCUUGGAAGGAAAAUCCCGCAUCCUCCAGCAGUUUUCUCCUACUGGACUUGUUCGUGCACUGAGUCCAGUUAAUUUUAAUUGUUUACACUAAAAUUAUUUUAAAAAUAAUUUUUGAAAAUAAAUUGCGUGUUGAAUCAAAAUAGUAAAGUGUGGUCAAUGUACAAUUGUCUUAUAAAGUAUCGAGAAGCCUAUAAUUGAGAAUAAUAAAUUAUGAUCAUAUCAUAAAUGUUGGUACGGGGCUAUUCCCCUUUACCCAUUCCCCCGAACAGGACUCUCCGACAUGUUGCUAUAAUUCGACUCUCCGUCAUGUUGCUACAAUUCAACUCUCUGGCAUAUCGCUACAAUUCAACUCACCGGCAUGUAGCUACGAUUCGACUCUCCGGUUGCAUAUGCAUAGAGAUCUCGGCAGUAUCAAGACAAGGAAAUGGAACCAUCAGAGGGGACUCGAGUAGAGGUACUAGAAGCUUGUCAUGCAAGACACCCCGAAGCUUGCCGGAGACGAUUCUUAGGGAUAUUCCCACAAGAUACCUAGGACCAGUACUCAAGUGCACUCAAUUACACAAGACAGCUGGCCACGCGGUCCCCCCAUACAUAGAGGUUUUACAAUUGUAGCCAUAAGGCCAAUUUGUAACUACCUAAGGAUAACUUGGUAAUUGUACAAAGGGGGGCCGGGACUAUAAAAGCCAGUACCCCAUCCUGUAAAAGG